AAAGAUUUAGUUAAUUUUCAUAACAUUGAUUUGUCAAAUCAAAAUUAUUUAACCUAAAUAUUCUUUA
RNAcentral lists this transfer RNA (67 nucleotides) under Neotrogla sp. 5 KY-2017. Its description in RNAcentral is "tRNA-Asp". The record is from RNAcentral. Lineage: Eukaryota; Metazoa; Arthropoda; Insecta; Psocodea; Prionoglarididae.